GAUGAACGCUGGCGGCGUGCCUAAUACAUGCAAGUCGAGCGAACGGACGAGAGGCUUGCUUCUCUGAUGUUAGCGGCGGACGGGUGAGUAACACGUGGAUAACCUACCUAUAAGACUGGGAUAACUUCGGGAAACCGGAGCUAAUACCGGAUAAUAUUUUGAACCGCAUGGUUCAACAGUGAAAGACGGUCUUGCUGUCACUUAUAGAUGGAUCCGCGCUGCAUUAGCUAGUUGGUAAGGUAACGGCUUACCAAGGCAACGAUGCAUAGCCGACCUGAGAGGGUGAGCGGCCACACUGGAACUGAGACACGGUCCAGACUCCUACGGUAGGCAGCAGUAGGGAAUCUUCCGCAAUGGGCGAAAGCCUGACGGAGCAACGCCGCGUGAGUGAUGAAGGUCUUCGGAUCGUAAAACUCUGUUAUUAGGGAAGAACAUAUGUGUAAGUAACUGUGCACAUCUUGACGGUACCUAAUCAGAAAGCCACGGCUAACUACGUG
This 497-nucleotide ribosomal RNA is filed under the name uncultured bacterium. RNAcentral describes it as "partial 16S ribosomal RNA". It matches the Rfam family "Bacterial small subunit ribosomal RNA", at positions 28 to 507 of the family's 1533-position model. The record is from RNAcentral.